Molecule: ribosomal RNA, 567 nt
Filed under: Solariellidae clade B sp. 2 LS-2013
Lineage: Eukaryota; Metazoa; Mollusca; Gastropoda; Trochida; Solariellidae
Description: partial 16S ribosomal RNA
Rfam family: Bacterial large subunit ribosomal RNA
Source: RNAcentral
CGCUCUCUGUUUAUUUAGGUUAGUUAAUNUAGAGAGUCGGACCUGCCCAGUGACGUGAGUGUUAAACGGCCGCGGUACUCUGACCGUGCAAAGGUAGCAUAAUCAUUUGCCUUUUAAUUGGAGGCUUGUAUGAAUGGUUUGACGAGAGCUAAGCUGUCUCCCUUUUUAAAUAUUUAGAAAUUAAUUUGUAGGUGAAGAGGCCUACAUAUAUCUGAGGGACAAGAAGACCCUGUUGAGUUUGAGUGUAGAUUAAAAUUAGGUUGUUGUGUGUGGUUAUUGAGCUAUUAUGUAAACGAGGUUGUAUAAAAUUAGUAUAGAUUAGAUUUUUCUUUAAUCUUUAGUUGGGGCGACUGAGGAGCAUGAGAAGCUUCCUUUAAUGAAAUAUGGCUGUCGGGCUAGUUUGAUCCAAUUUUUAUUGAUCAAAGGAAAAAAUUACCACAGGGAUAACAGCGUAAUCUUUUUGGAGAGUUCUUAUCGAAGAAAGGGUUUGCGACCUCGAUGUUGGACUAAGAUAUCCCGGGGGUGUAGAAGCUUCUGAAGGUUGGUCUGUUCGACCAUUAAAAUCUU